This 465-nucleotide ribosomal RNA is filed under the name uncultured bacterium. RNAcentral describes it as "partial 16S ribosomal RNA". It matches the Rfam family "Bacterial small subunit ribosomal RNA", at positions 339 to 795 of the family's 1533-position model. The record is from RNAcentral.
CUACGGGGCGCUCCAGUGAGGAAUAUUGGACAAUGGGGGAAACCCUGAUCCAGCAAUGCCGCGUGUGUGAAGAAGGCCUGCGGGUUGUAAAGCACUUUCGGUUGGGAGGACUGCUUCUAGCACUAAUAUUGUUGGAAGUUGACGUUACCUUCAGAAGAAGCACCGGCUAACUCCGUGCCAGCAGCCGCGGUAAUACGGAGGGUGCAAGCGUUAAUCGGGAUUACUGGGCGUAAAGCGCGCGUAGGCGGCUAGAUCAGUCGGGUGUGAAAGCCCCGGGCUUAACCUGGGAACUGCAUCCGAUACUGUCUAGCUUGAGUACAGGAGAGGAGAGUGGAAUUCCACAUGUAGCGGUGAAAUGCGUAGAUAUGUGGAGGAACACCAAUGGCGAAGGCAGCUCUCUGGCCUGAUACUGACGCUGAGGUGCGAAGGCGUGGGGAGCAAACAGGAUUAGAUACCCUCGUAGUC